ACGUGACGUAGUUUCCGAUUAGACCGGAAAAUAAGUACGCAAGUCUUUUCACCCUCCGCUGUGAAGUAUGAGGUUGCUUUUCGGUGUAUUCGACAAAAUGAGUGCGUCUCCCUGUCUAAACUUAUUUGUUUCAUUACGCUUGUGCUUGGAAACCCGCACGUUGGUUCAGGGUAUAAGUUACCGUUGAAAUGACGUGACGCUCUCGCGCGCUGCUCUGCCACGAGAUGCGGGAUCUCAAGACCUGACGCGCAGGACUCCACGGCACGUGGACGAAGCGUGGCCCAACGGCGGAGGAACACUGCGCUAGUUUUGAGGAAAAAAUAUAAGCGAUAAGGAAGUUCAUGUAAGUGAACUAUCGCUGGCCUGGCCUGACCUUUGGUUGAAUGGACUUAAAGAAAGGGAAGACUGAGGAAUAAGUGAUUGCAUGGUACUACAUGAUCAGUGUGUAAAAUAAAACCCAAUAUAUAAACACA
Long non-coding RNA from Colossoma macropomum (tambaqui), 473 nucleotides. RefSeq lists it as uncharacterized. The transcript is spliced from 4 exons. The record is from RefSeq and is a predicted model, not a curated record. NCBI's taxonomy places the organism in Eukaryota, Metazoa, Chordata, Actinopteri, Characiformes, Serrasalmidae.